GACUCACGCGGGAAUCUUACCGGGUCCGGACACACUGAGGAUUGACAGAUAUACGCUCAUUUUGUAAUUCGCUGCAUUUUGAGCUGAAAGAUGCUAGUUCUUUCAUGAUUAUGUGAUAGGUGGUGCAUGGCCGUUCUUAGUUCGUGGAGUGAUCUGUCUGCUUAAUUGCGUAUCAAUAAUAGAGACCUAGUAUACGCGUGGAUUUCGCGUGGUAGUGACCCCCUGUUCGCGCAGGCGUGUGUCGCACACGCGUGCCGCGCACUGGUCUCAGAUAGCAACGAACGUGACCGUAUUCUAUUGUUGCAGUGAAUAUGUGUGUCUUCGGGCAUACCACCCACUGCUUAUUGUAUGUACGUGCUUCGGUGCGCACAAUAC
This 375-nucleotide ribosomal RNA is filed under the name Ammonia sp. T2B. RNAcentral describes it as "SSU rRNA". It matches the Rfam family "Eukaryotic small subunit ribosomal RNA", at positions 1197 to 1397 of the family's 1831-position model. The record is from RNAcentral. Lineage: Eukaryota; Foraminifera; Rotaliida; Rotaliidae.